Long non-coding RNA from Nothoprocta perdicaria, 199 nucleotides. RefSeq lists it as uncharacterized. The record is from RefSeq and is a predicted model, not a curated record. NCBI's taxonomy places the organism in Eukaryota, Metazoa, Chordata, Aves, Tinamiformes, Tinamidae. The transcript is spliced from 2 exons.
GUUCGACAGCUCGCAGUACCCCUACAACUGCUUCAACUACGACGGCGAUGAGUACCCAACCUGUAGCUCGGACGAAGAGAAAAAAUUCACGAGGCCGGCGUACAGCUACAUUGCCUUAAUUGCAAUGGCCAUCCAGCAAAGUCCAUCAAAUAAAGUCACCCUCUCUGGCAUUUAUGACUUUAUAAUGAAGAAAUUUCCU